AUGCCAGGAUUACCAUCAGGAGCUGAAUUACAGCUUGCCUCAUCUCGGACAUCCAUGAGUCUUAAACAUAGACCUCCUCUGCAUCAACAGAAAUGGGAUGAUUUCCACUGGACAGCAGUGAGUGAAAAUGUUAAGUGGAAUUGUAUUUUUUAUAUUACUUGUUAGAAAAGGAAGAUGGGGUAAAUGGUGUUUACUCAAUCAGUCCUCAGGUAUAACAGAGUACCCAGUUCCACUUAAGUCAUGAUAGCAGAGGUAAGAAGCAAUUCUCCUGGUUCCUUGUGAUUGUUUACCCAUAAACCGCAAAGGUCUUUGGUGGUUGGUGUGUUAUUUCUUGCUGCUUUUAACCCUGGAGCUAGAUUCACCAAGCUGCUACUUGAUCCCUUCUGUGAAGACUCCAAGAUGAGGCCACUAAGAUGAUCAGAGGGCUGGAGCACCUCUCCUAUGAAGAAAGGUUGAGGGAACUGGGCUUGUUUAGCUUGGAGAAGGCUCUGGGGGGACCUCAUUGCAGCCUACCAGUACUUGAAGGGAGUGUAUGAACAGGAGGGGAAAUGCCUGUUUACAUGUGUUGAUAGUGAUAGGACAAGGGGGAAUUGUUUUAAACUAAGAUGGGGAGAUUUAGGUUAGAAAUUAGGAGAGAGUUUUUCACUCAGAGGGUGGUGAGGCAUUGGAACAGGUUGCCCAGAGAGGUUGUGGAUGCCCCAUCCCUGGAGGCAUUCAGGGCCAGGCUGGAUGCGGCUCUGGGCAGCCUGCUCUAGUGGUUGGCAACCCUACCCAGAGCAGGGGGGUUGAAACUAGAUGAUCUUUGAGGUCCUUUUCAACCCAGGCGAUUCUAUGAUUUUGUAAAUGAAAAAGUAAACUGCUAGGAGGUGAAUGGCUGUUAAUACCUGACAUCUUGAAAGAAGUGAGGAGUUACUGGAACAAGGCAGAAUGCUAAGUGGUCACACAUGUGGGCGUGUCUUUACCUUUCCCCAUGAGGUAUCUGAGCGGAUGCAGGGUCCCAGGUGACACUGUAGCUGGUGUGUCUAGUUAAACUUUAAAUGGACAAUUUGUCUAGCUGGCACAAAGGAGUCCUUCAGCUCAAGGGAUUUAACCAAACUUCUGGCUUAAUUAGGAAAAGAUUAACUAUGUCUAUGUUUAAACAUCUGAAUCGUGGAUAAAAUAUUUC
This 1165-nucleotide long non-coding RNA is filed under the name Anser cygnoides (Swan goose). RNAcentral's name for it is "lncRNA (ENSACDG00005001169.1)". Lineage: Eukaryota; Metazoa; Chordata; Aves; Anseriformes; Anatidae. The record is from RNAcentral.